GCUUGGCCCUAAACCUCAAUAGUUAAAAUAACAAAACUAUUCGCCAGAAUACUACAAGCAACAGCUUAAAACUCAAAGGACUUGGCGGUGCUUCAUACCCCCUAGAGGAGCCUGUUCUGUAAUCGAUAAACCCCGAUCCACCCCACCCUCUCUUGCUUAGUCUAUAUACCGCCAUCUUCAGCAAACCCUGAUGAAGGCUACGAAGUGAGCGCAAAUGCCCUCCCCCGCAAAAACGUUAGGUCAAGGUGUAACUUAUGAGACGGUAAAAAUGGGCUACAUUUUCUACUUCAGAAAACCCCACGACAGCUCUUAUGAAAUCUAGGAGCCCAAGGAGGAUUUAGCAGUAAAUUAAGAAUAGAGUGCUUAAUUGAACUAGGCCAUAAAGCACGC
This 390-nucleotide ribosomal RNA is filed under the name Papio anubis (olive baboon). RNAcentral's name for it is "partial 12S ribosomal RNA". It matches the Rfam family "Bacterial small subunit ribosomal RNA", at positions 794 to 1384 of the family's 1533-position model. Lineage: Eukaryota; Metazoa; Chordata; Mammalia; Primates; Cercopithecidae. The record is from RNAcentral.